Molecule: ribosomal RNA, 253 nt
Filed under: uncultured bacterium
Lineage: Bacteria
Description: partial 16S ribosomal RNA
Rfam family: Bacterial small subunit ribosomal RNA
Source: RNAcentral
UACGUAGGGAGCAAGCGUUGUCCGGAAUCAUUGGGCGUAAAGCGCGCGUAGGCGGCCCUGUAAGUCCGUUGUGAAAGUCAAAGGCUCAACCUUUGAAAGCCGAUGGAUACUGCAGGGCUAGAGUCCGGAAGAGGCGAGUGGAAUUCCUGGUGUAGCGGUGGAAUGCGCAGAUAUCAGGAGGAACACCCGUGGCUAAGGCGGCUCUCUAGUACGGUACUGACGCUGAGACGCGAAAGCGUGGGGAGCGAACAGG